GCAGGGCACAGGAACUACCCUCACGUCAGCCAGGCAGGAGGGGCAGUGGGCAGAGCCUGGCUCGGUAACACUGGGCUUUGAUGAGGGGAGGGGGGCGGGCCUGAGGAACAGGCCAAUUCCAACAAAGAGGUCAGCACAGACCAAGGCGCAGAGGAAUAAGCAGGUUGGCUUGGCUGCAUGAUCAGAGUGAGGACGGUGGAAGUAAGGGACAAGCCAUUCAUGUGGAAGUCUUAUCUUGUGCCCUGCCCUCAACAUGCAGCUGCAUGAGCAUCACCUAGAGGCUUGUCAGACAUGCAGAAUCCCGGGCACGGCCCACACCUCUUAAGUCAGAACCUCAUUUAACAAGAUCUCCAGCUGACCUGAAUGCACGUUAAGGUUUGAGAAGCACUGCUGACCACAAGUCUAUGGGUUCCAAGGGGUGCAACAGCGGGUGGCCGAGAAAGCUGAGAUGCAGUCCCUUCCUCCCAGAACCGCCACCUUCAGCAGCGGCAGUGGCAACAACAGAAGAGCAAGCCACGCUCAUUGUGGACCCGCUCUGUGCAGGUGGGAAAACUGAGGCACAGCCCAAGAUCACCAAGCCAGUAAAGGCGAGUCGACGUCCUCUACACGGCAGGGUUAUACCCAGCGACCACGGAAGGUGGGGCCUCGCCUGCUUCCUGCCGCCCUCCCCAACUGGUCCCACGACAGGCCGCCUCUGAAACCGCCAGGCACCCCCACUCUGUACUUACGGUCAAGGCCGUUGAUGUAGCGCAUGGUGACUUCGCAGUGGCCCCACACCGCACUCACCACCGGGUACAGCUUCUUGCCCUUGAGGCCGCGGAAGGCCACGCCCAGAUACUGGCCGUCCACCACGAAGCUGAGCGUGCCCUCGUCCAUGUCCAGCACCACGAGCAGCGAGUCCGGCAGCGCGAAGGCCUCCUCGGGCCCCAGGAAGGCGGGGUAGGCCACUCCCGGCCUGUUCUUGCCGUCGUGGUAGAGGCGGCUGCGGCCCAGGUCCCAGCCCCACGACUCCGCGUCACUGCCCACCAGUGCCGUGUAGCCCACGGAGUGCAGGGGGGCUCGAGCCGUGGCCACCCCCACUACGGCGUGGGUGCCACGCUGCCGCGCCGGCCAGUUGAUCUGCCAGGCGUGCAGGCCCCGGGCGUGGCCCACCUUGCCGCGGAUGCCGUCGGUGCUCUGGGCCACCGGGUGCCGGUGGAAGACCCCAACUUCAGCACAUGCCAACCCUAUCCAGAGAGCUCUGGCUAAUGUUUAAUCUGGGGGAAACCAGAGCACGUAAAAAUUUGCAACACUAGACAGCCCGAAGAUAGCAGAAUACAGUUACUUCUUUUCAUAUCCCAAAUCGCCUAAAAUAAAGGAGAAAGAGAAAGAGAAAUGCAAAUUUUAUCUUCAGCAAAACCAGAACACAUUUGUAACCCGAACCACAACUUAUAAGGAAAGACUGCCAAAAACAGUCAAGGACUGCCAAAAGCAGCGAAGAUCAAACGGGGGUGAGAAAACACCUACAGAAAACACCUGUGGCUGCAGAUCUCGGCUAAAGCUGGCAGAGCCAACCAGUAGCUGGCACUCUCUGAUGGAAAAAAACCAAUGGUUCCUAAACAGAACAGUGGGAGCAGGGUAUGUGGUCUGGCAGUGGGAGCUGCCUCGGACAGCCUGAGGACAGAGGAGGGCAGGGGUAGCAAGAAAACCACAGGCCUGCCAUCGUCACAGGAAGCAGUGUGUUGUUGAGGCAGAGUGGGAGAUUGGGGGAAGCCCAUAGCUACAGAACUGUGCUGCUGGGUAGAAGCGAGGCCAAAAGAAAUCACGGCCUCAGUCCUAGGAACAAAAUUACCAUGAACCGGGAGCAAUCCUGCGCUCCUAAAAUACUUCCUGGCACCUCCCCUCUGCAUAAAUCCCCUGCAAAACGUUCAUCUAGAGGAAUUAGCACACGACAUAGUCAAAGAUGCUUACAGGAGAAAUAAAGGAGAGAGAGAACAACAACAACAACAAAUGGCAAAUCAAGAAAAUUCACCGGAAAAAAGCUGUCACAAAGCAUAUAAAAAUUGUGACUAAAUUUGUAAA
This is a long non-coding RNA of Felis catus (domestic cat), 2061 nucleotides long. RefSeq lists it as uncharacterized. NCBI's taxonomy places the organism in Eukaryota, Metazoa, Chordata, Mammalia, Carnivora, Felidae. The transcript is spliced from 4 exons. The record is from RefSeq and is a predicted model, not a curated record.